Molecule: long non-coding RNA, 637 nt
Filed under: Fukomys damarensis (Damara mole-rat)
Lineage: Eukaryota; Metazoa; Chordata; Mammalia; Rodentia; Bathyergidae
Description: lncRNA (ENSFDAG00000029660.1)
Source: RNAcentral
UGGCCCAUAGAGUUUCUAACUUCACCAUCCCUACCUCCCUCUCCUCUUAGAUUCAGUCACAUUUUGGACUCCACAUUCAAUCUCAGCUCUCAGGAUGAGAUGAUUGGGGGCCUGAGGCCAGCAGCUAGCAGUGGGGUAUUGAGGUGGUCUCAGGGACCACUCUGCUGUGACAUCAGUGUCCCACACCCCAUGGAACUGGUCUCCACAUUCCUCAGUAACUAAGCCUUCCAUAGGAACUUUUCUCCCCUGGGGACCAGACUGCUGGGCCCUGAGUGCUGCAGGUGCCACCAGCUAACAUCUGUGUGUACUGUCAGUCCCCAUCCUGGAGCUAACCCUGCUCCAUCUCUGUUGCCACCUCAGUGCACCCUCCUGGCUGUAACCUCAGCUACACCAAGUUUAGGGAAGUGACCAUCCAGCUCCCAGGCAGAUGACAGUGCCGGGCUGGAAAUGCCAUGAGCCACUGCACAGGAGGAGGAGACACAUACAUUUCACAGCGUUCUUCCUCCGACUGCGUGAAGUCAGACUGAAGAGGACCCGAUAUCGCGGAGGGCUAGGAGGUGGUGUCAACGUUCACGCGGAUCAGGGUCCACACACUUUGAAGCCUGUGGGUCCCAUCCAACUUGAACACUUUGCCUGA